This 253-nucleotide ribosomal RNA is filed under the name uncultured bacterium. RNAcentral describes it as "partial 16S ribosomal RNA". It matches the Rfam family "Bacterial small subunit ribosomal RNA", at positions 524 to 776 of the family's 1533-position model. The record is from RNAcentral.
UCCGUAGGUGGCAAGCGUUGUUCGGCAUUAUUGGGCGUAAAGCGCGCGUAGGCGGUUACUCAAGUCGGAUGUGAAAGCCCUCGGCUUAACUGAGGAAGUGCACCCGAAACUGAGUAGCUAGAGUACUAAAGAGGGUCGCGGAAUUCCCGGUGUAGAGGUGAAAUUCGUAGAUAUCGGGAGGAACACCGGUGGCGAAGGCGGCGACCUGGGUAGAUACUGACGCUGAGGCGCGAAAGCGUGGGGAGCAAACAGG